UACGUAGGGGGCUAGCGUUGUCCGGAAUCAUUGGGCGUAAAGAGCGUGUAGGCGGCCCGGUAAGUCCGCUGUAAAAGUCAAAGGCUCAACCUUUGAAUGUCAGUGGAUACUGCCGGGCUAGAGUCCGGAAGAGGCGAGUGGAACUCCUGGUGUAGCGGUGAAAUGCGCAGAUAUCAGGAGGAACACCAAUUGCGAAGGCAGCUCGCUGGGACGUUACUGACGCUGAGACGCGAAAGCGUGGGGAGCAAACAGG
This 253-nucleotide ribosomal RNA is filed under the name uncultured bacterium. RNAcentral's name for it is "partial 16S ribosomal RNA". It matches the Rfam family "Bacterial small subunit ribosomal RNA", at positions 524 to 776 of the family's 1533-position model. The record is from RNAcentral.